This 506-nucleotide ribosomal RNA is filed under the name uncultured bacterium. Its description in RNAcentral is "partial 16S ribosomal RNA". It matches the Rfam family "Bacterial small subunit ribosomal RNA", at positions 30 to 523 of the family's 1533-position model. The record is from RNAcentral.
AUUGAACGCUGGCGGCAGGCCUAACACAUGCAAGUCGAACGGCAGCACAGAAGAGCUUGCUCUUUGGGUGGCGAGUGGCGGACGGGUGAGUAAUGUCUGGGAAACUGCCCGAUGGAGGGGGAUAACUACCGGAAACGGUAGCUAAUACCGCAUAACGUCGCAAGACCAAAGUGGGGGACCUUCGGGCCUCACACCAUCGGAUGUGCCCAGAUGGGAUUAGCUAGUAGGUGGGGUAAUGGCUCACCUAGGCGACGAUCCCUAGCUGGUCUGAGAGGAUGACCAGCCACACUGGAACUGAGACACGGUCCAGACUCCUACGGGAGGCAGCAGUGGGGAAUAUUGCACAAUGGGCGCAAGCCUGAUGCAGCCAUGCCGCGUGUAUGAAGAAGGCCUUCGGGUUGUAAAGUACUUUCAGCGGGGGGGAAGGCGAUGUGGUUAAUAACCGCAUUGAUUGACGUUACCCGCAGAAGAAGCACCGGCUAACUCCGUGCCAGCCGCCGCCGUAA